AGUGAACGCUGGCGGUAGGCCUAACACAUGCAAGUCGAACGGCAGCACAGGAGAGCUUGCUCUCUGGGUGGCGAGUGGCGGACGGGUGAGGAAUACAUCGGAAUCUACUCUGUCGUGGGGGAUAACGUAGGGAAACUUACGCUAAUACCGCAUACGACCUACGGGUGAAAGCAGGGGACCUUCGGCCCUUGCGCGAUUGAAUGAGCCGAUGUCGGAUUAGCUAGUUGGCGGGGUAAAGGCCCACCAAGGCGACGAUCCGUAGCUGGUCUGAGAGGAUGAUCAGCCACACUGGAACUGAGACACGGUCCAGACUCCUGCGGGAGGCAGCAGUGGGGAAUAUUGGACAAUGGGCGCAAGCCUGAUCCAGCCAUACCGCGUGGGUGAAGAAGGCCUUCGGGUUGUAAAGCCCUUUUGUUGGGAAAGAAAUCCAGCUGGCUAAUACCCGGUUGGGAUGACGGUACCCAAAGAAUAAGCACCGGCUAACUUCGUGCCAGCCGCCGCGGUAA
RNAcentral lists this ribosomal RNA (506 nucleotides) under uncultured bacterium. RNAcentral's name for it is "partial 16S ribosomal RNA". It matches the Rfam family "Bacterial small subunit ribosomal RNA", at positions 29 to 523 of the family's 1533-position model. The record is from RNAcentral.